RNAcentral lists this ribosomal RNA (253 nucleotides) under uncultured bacterium. RNAcentral's name for it is "partial 16S ribosomal RNA". It matches the Rfam family "Bacterial small subunit ribosomal RNA", at positions 524 to 776 of the family's 1533-position model. The record is from RNAcentral.
UACGUAGGGUGCAAGCGUUAAUCGGAAUUACUGGGCGUAAAGCGUGCGCAGGCGGUGAUGUAAGACAGGUGUGAAAUCCCCGGGCUUAACCUGGGAACUGCAUUUGUGACUGCAUCGCUGGAGUGCGGCAGAGGGGGAUGGAAUUCCGCGUGUAGCAGUGAAAUGCGUAGAUAUGCGGAGGAACACCGAUGGCGAAGGCAGUCCCCUGGGCCUGCACUGACGCUCAUGCACGAAAGCGUGGGGAGCAAACAGG